RNAcentral lists this ribosomal RNA (2208 nucleotides) under Triticum aestivum (bread wheat). RNAcentral's name for it is "partial small subunit ribosomal RNA". Lineage: Eukaryota; Viridiplantae; Streptophyta; Magnoliopsida; Poales; Poaceae. The record is from RNAcentral.
CCUUUUGGCCUUCGUCUCUUGUCGUCUAGUACGACUACACUCACAGGUCGUGACUAAUCCAACAACACUCAUAGCCUGUUGUCAACGAUGUAGUGACUUGUGGCUCUUUUAGUGUUGGUAAGAGACAGCGACUGAUACCCACUCUUCCACGUGACCGGCAGUGUAUUUGUGUAUCUACAAAUGUGGUUCCUAGACUAAUCCGUUGAUUCCCUUUUGUUACAGUUAAACCCUUUCCACAUGUUGUAUUAACCCUCAAAGAAGCCCAGACAACUCUUCCACGGUAAGUGUUUCUCCUGUGAGCCCUUAUAUACACCUUUCUAAUCGGCACUUGUUCGACUGUUACUACAGACCUUUUGCGAACUUCACAAACGACUGUAUGCAAGUUCUCUAAGUCCCAAGUGGAUACACCACGACCGACUGUUCUGUUCAUUCCAGUUUUUAGAUUACACCCGCUUACCGUCGUCGGCAUACGUUAUGUUUAAGAAACCCCUACACCAUUGCAAACUGUGCUGCAUGUCUUGUUUGGACAUACUAUACGGCAAGCCCAAUAAACAGCCUCAAUUGUUAGUAAUGGUCUCGUAGUAGGACCGCCCCCACAAUUACGCGCUACUAGUUCUUCUCUCGAAGCUCACCCAAAAGCGCCUUAAAGAAGCAUACUACCCGCCCGGACGGGGGUCUUGAUAUGAGUGUCUGGUCACAUCCCGCUACCUCCAGUGCUAGUCCUCUUGAAUAGCACUGUGACAGGUGGCAACCACGUUCACCGUACAGGAGUUCUUCCGCUUCCUUUGCAACCCGGGUGAUAUGUGCUUCUUCUCGCUAAAAGUCCGACUUAAAGUGUUCCAUCACUUGGUGUACAAUUGCCUUCUUCUCAAGCUUAGUCGAACCCGUCGCGACGACCUAUUCAUGUUGAACUCCUCAGUGCGGAUGUACUGUGUUUAUAUACUUUGGGCCUCCUUUACCCGGUUCGGUAUAAAGUCCGCACACAAAACGCGUUUCUACCGUUCGUGGGUCGCGUCACUCUCGCGUUUGGUGUACGACUUCAGUAUGUACGGGGGACGUUCGGGUUACGUACAGAAACAGUCCGUCAUAUACUCCGACGUUAAACUGUCUCUCGCGCUACUUUCGAUGUUCCUCUUCUCCUGGUACUAUCCCCGGGCCAUUCUACUUGAUUGGAGCGCUAUCUCGCGGUACGGUCGUUUUAUAUGUGAUCCUUGUACAAGCUCGCCAAACCGCUCGAGGACCAACUUCCUUGGCGCAUGUUACAGUGACUACAGCUAUCCUACUCCUCUAUGUAGUGGUGAGUGUUAUUGCGUCGCUUUUCCCUCUUCACCUCGUCCCAACUCAUACUCCAUUGUUAUUUGCUUCUGUACAGCUAGAAGUCAACGCUCACGCCGUUCAAGCUCGUAUGACCGUACGAAACGUCGGUAAGCAACUCCCACUACCUUUAAGAAGUGUACCUCCUCUAUGGUUUCGUAGUGUAGUACUUCGCCACCUGCUCCCUGCGCUCUCUACAUGACGGACCCGUGGACCAAGUCAUGGUCUUUCUGUCAAGUGUUUUGGACAGUAAGUGUAUGUCCGUACGUUGAGAUAUACACUUUCGAUACCUUCAGCACUCCUACCCUCUGCGUUCACGACGUAGUAUACUAGUACACUUGCGCCGAGAGCUGCGACACGAUGUCUCACCCCGUCGUUAACGCCUCUUCUCUCUACCCGACCGAAAGCUCCUAGCCGAGCAACUUGUAUGUGGACGUUAUGGUCCGGGUUUACCCCUUGAUCGCAAACAGGGCGACCCGUGACUUGUUACGGCCUCGGGGCCAGUAAGACAGUCACACUUACGUUACGUUUUAGAUCGUCGAGGUCUGUUCGUAUCUCCACGACCCUCUGGCUGUUCGUCGACUCUCUUCCGAGGCAUGCUCCCCAAUUCGUUCUCCUGUUCUAAGACGUCGUAUACGGCGGCGCUUCCAGUAUUCUUCUGCUACACGGGUCUUUCCCCCCUACGCGGUUUCUUCGGUGCUUUUGGACCGUUUACGUUCUUGACACCUUAUCUUCCCGUAGCUGCCUUAUGUACGUUCUCCGGCGAACCCCAACGGCUCGUGACUCAACAUACCUUAGCCUUACCGAGUACAAAGUCACUAAACCAACUCGCUAAAAGGAACUCACAAAUGCCACCCACUCGUUACGUAGACAUAAAAAUAGUCACAUCUGUCG